ACGCGGUCCCAGUACGCCAUGACCUCCUCCGAAUUACCGCGACGUUCUCUCUUCCACUGUUUCCAACCACCUUGAGG
RNAcentral lists this non-coding RNA (77 nucleotides) under Pycnococcus provasolii. The record is from RNAcentral. Lineage: Eukaryota; Viridiplantae; Chlorophyta; Pseudoscourfieldiophyceae; Pseudoscourfieldiales; Pycnococcaceae.